AUGCUUAGGGAAGAGCUUGCGUCACAUUAGUUAGUUGGUGGGGUAAUGGCCUACCAAGACGAUGAUGUGUAGCCGGGCUGAGAGGUCGAACGGCCACAUUGGGACUGAGACACGGCCCAAACUCCUACGGGAGGCAGCAGUAAGGAAUUUUCGGCAAUGGAGGAAACUCUGACCGAGCAAUGCCGCGUGAACGAUGAAGUAUUUCGGUACGUAAAGUUCUUUUAUUAGGGAAGAAAAGAUGGUGGAAAAACCAUUAUGACGGUACCUAAUGAAUAAGCCCCGGCUAACUAUGUGCCAGCAGCCGCGGUAAUACAUAGGGGGCAAGCGUUAUCCGGAAUUAUUGGGCGUAAAGGGUGCGUAGGCGGUUAAAUAAGUUUAUGGUCUAAGUGCAACGCUCAACGUUGUGAUGCUAUAAAAACUGUUUAGCUAGAGUUGGAUAGAGGCAAGUGGAAUUCCGUGUGUAGUGGUAAAAUGCGUAAAUAUACGGAGGAACACCAGAAGCGAAGGCGGCUUGCUGGGUCUUAACUGACGCUGAGGCACGAAAGCGUGGGGAGCAAACAGGAUUAGAUACCCUGGUAGUCCACGCCCUAAACGAUGAGUACUAAACGUUGGAUAAAACCAGUGUUGAAGUUAACACAUUAAGUACUCCGCCUGAGUAGUACGUACGCAAGUAUGAAACUUAAAGGAAUUGACGGGACUCCGCACAAGCGGUGGAUCAUGUUGUUUAAUUCUAAGGUACCCGAAAAACCUCACCAGGUCUUGACAUGCUUUUGCAAAGCUGUAGAAAUACAGUGGAGGUUAUCAGAAGCACAGGUGGUGCAUGGUUGUCGUCAGCUCGUGUCGUGAGAUGUUGGGUUAAGUCCCGCAACGAGCGCAACCCUUGUUGUUAAUUGCCAUCAUUAAGUUGGGGACUUUAGCAAGACUGCCAAUGAUAAAUUGGAGGAAGGUGGGGACGACGUCAAAUCAUCAUGCCCCUUAUGACCUGGGCUACAAACGUGAUACAAUGGCUGUUACAAAGGGUAGCUAAAGCGUAAGCUUCUGGCGAAUCUCAAAAAAGCAGUCUCAGUUCGGAUUGAAGUCUGCAACUCGACUUCAUGAAGU
Molecule: ribosomal RNA, 1101 nt
Filed under: Candidatus Phytoplasma solani
Lineage: Bacteria; Bacillati; Mycoplasmatota; Mollicutes; Acholeplasmatales; Acholeplasmataceae
Description: bacterial SSU rRNA
Rfam family: Bacterial small subunit ribosomal RNA
Source: RNAcentral